AGUUGGUUACUUCUGAGGCCUCUCUCCUUGGCUUGCAGAUGGCCACCUUCUCCCUGUAUUCUCACAUGGUCUUCCCUCUGUGUCUUACUGUGCCCUAAUCUCCUCUUGUUAUAAGGACACCAGAUAUUGGGUUAGGAUCCAUGCUAAUGACCUCAUUUAACCUUAAUUACAUCUUUGACCCUAUCUGCAAAUAUGGUCACAUUUUGAGACACUGUCGGGUUAGGACUUCAACAUAUGAAUUUGGGAGUGGGGGUACAUAAUACGUCCUUCUUUAGAACAGCUAAGACUUAUUCUAUAAUCGUGUCACUCAUCUUUGGCCUUUAUUUCCAGUGACCUUUCUUUCAUUUUCAGUUUGAAGAUCAUUCAACUCAACAGAAAAAAAAAAAAAAUAGAAAUGGAAGAGAUCUACUUUCUGUCCGUCCUGCAUCAGCAUUGCAUCAUGAUCCCCGUGCAUCUGGCUUACCCCUCCCGCAAUCAUCAGGCUCUGAAAAGAAAGAAAAUGACCUUUUAUACUUUCCUUUAGAAAAUUUUGUCAAAGCUUAAACAUUGACAUUUAAUGACAUUUAAAAUCUGUAUUAGUUUACUAGAGCUGCCAUAACAAAAUAUCACAGACUGGGUGGCUUAAACCAAGAAAUUUAUUUUCUCACAGUUCCAGAAAAGUCUAAGAUCAAGAUGCAGAUAGGAUUGGAAUCCUCAGAGGUCUCCUUGGCUUGCAGAUGGCUGCACCCUUGCUAAGUCCUCACACGUUCUUUCCUCUGCACAGAACCGUGUGCUAACUCCUCAUCAAAGACCAGAAGUAGAUCCUGAAUUGUAUUCAUUCUCAUCUCUUUCUACCUUCUCCAAGACAGAAGGACAUGAUUAACUUCUUUAUCUCAAUGUCAGCCUUCAAUAUCUACAAAAGUCUAAACUGUAAAUAGCAUUGAAGCUUUGCAUAAUAAAAUUCUUUUCCCCAGUGAUGGGCAGUUUU
Long non-coding RNA from Gorilla gorilla gorilla (western lowland gorilla), 967 nucleotides. RefSeq lists it as uncharacterized. The record is from RefSeq and is a predicted model, not a curated record. Lineage: Eukaryota; Metazoa; Chordata; Mammalia; Primates; Hominidae. The transcript is spliced from 2 exons.